RNAcentral lists this non-coding RNA (117 nucleotides) under Homo sapiens (human). Lineage: Eukaryota; Metazoa; Chordata; Mammalia; Primates; Hominidae. The record is from Rfam by way of RNAcentral.
GCUGGGCAUGGUAGUUCAUGCCUGUAAUCCCAGCACUUUGGGAGGCCGAGGCGGGUGGAUCACCUGAGGUCAGGAGUUCAAGACCAGCCUGGCCAACAUGGUGAAACCCCGUCUCUA